Molecule: RNA transcript, 3838 nt
Organism: Sabethes cyaneus
Lineage: Eukaryota; Metazoa; Arthropoda; Insecta; Diptera; Culicidae
Gene: ema
Gene name: protein CLEC16A homolog
Exons: 11
Source: RefSeq, a predicted model, not a curated record
GUCAUAGGUGUCACACUUGUAAAAUUUGCUUGCAAAGUUAGAGUAGUAAAUGUUUCAAUAGUGUAAAGUUAUCUUCGUUGUUCAGUAUUUAAGUAACACUUCUUGUUUAUGCAGAGGAAGAGUAAAACAAAUUUAUAUAGUAAAACUGCAAGAAUAAAGAAUGUUUCGCAGCAGAAGUUGGUUUGGUGGUGGCUGGAAUCGUCCUAAAAAUCGACUCUCACUAGACCAUCUGAAAUACCUGUAUAGCGUUCUUGAGCGCAACACUACAGUGUCAGAAAGUAAUCGAGGAUUGUUAGUAGAGUCACUCCGCAGCAUCGCAGAAAUUUUGAUCUGGGGCGAUCAAAACGAUUCAUCUGUUUUCGAUUUCUUUUUAGAGAAGAACAUGUUAUCAUACUUUUUAAACAUCAUGCGACAGAAAAGCGGAGGAUCAAGUUUUGUAUGUGUUCAGCUGCUUCAGACGUUGAAUAUUUUGUUUGAAAAUAUUCGCAAUGAGACCUCUCUCUAUUAUUUACUAAGCAACAACCUUGUUAAUUCCAUAAUCGUUCACAAAUUCGACUUCUCUGACGAAGACGUAAUGGGCUACUACAUCCUGUUUUUAAAAACUCUCAGUUUGAAGUUGAACACUCAUACAAUACAUUUCUUUUAUAAUGAACAUACGAAUGAUUUUCCGCUGUAUACGGAAGCGAUAAAGUUUUUUAAUCAUCCAGAGUCGAUGGUACGGAUUGCAGUCCGUACUAUCACGUUGAAUGUGUACAAAGUGCAAAACCCAAACAUGUUGCAGUUUAUUCGAGACAAAACUGCAGCUCCAUACUUUAGUAAUCUGGUUUGGUUUAUUGGCAAGCAUAUAUUGGAACUCGAUGCAUGCGUCCGUAACGAUAUAGAUCAUCAAUCACAGCAUCGUUUAGCCAAUUUGGUAGCUGAACAUUUAGACCACUUGCAUUAUUUAAAUGAUAUACUCUGCUUGGAUAUAGCAGACCUUAAUGCGGUUCUUACUGAACAUUUACUACACAAGUUGCUGGUUCCACUGUACAUAUUCUCUCUAACACCAUCUCCACCCAUCUCAAUGGCGUUAGUAACGAGGAAUUUAGCAGCGGUACUAAAUAAAGUAGUCGAUAUUGACAUUAAGGAAAUGAACAACCCUCGUGUAUCCAGUGUUGUAGCACUGUUUCUAUUGUCCCUCGUUUUUCUUGUGGUUACCCACCGACCGCUGAUCAACGCACUUACGUGGGUAAUUUUAAACGCUGACCAUACUGUAUUCAAAGAGGGAGCAUCUCGAAUAUUGAAUGCUUAUAUCGACAAUCGUGAAGUGGUAGCACUUGGUUUUGUUCAACCAGUUGAAAGUCUAGAAGAAGCAUUGGAAAGUUCAGCUGCGUCAUCAAGUUCUUACAAUUACGACCAAAGUGUGGAUGAUGCCAACAGUAGCAGUAGCACAUCAACCACCAACGAACCGCAAAUAUCAGAUUCUCCGAGUCCUCCUACGCUCUCAGAUGAGAUGGAGAAAGUGAAUAUUACAGACGAAGAAAAGGAAAAGCUUCUGCUCAAUGCAUAUCGAACCCCUGAAUUCAAUAGACCUUUUCUCGAUAUGGUAUUGUCGUCACUGGAUUGCGCUGAAAAUGAUUACCUUGCUUUACUGGCUCUUUGUCUAUUGUAUGCACUAGCGAACAACAAAGGUGUGAAUGCCGAAUGGUUAGAUAUUGUAUUGAACAAAUCAUCGCCAACCGGAAGCUCCAAGUACAAUUUAAUUUUGCUGGAAAAGCUGCUCCAAAUUGUCACGCUCUCCAAUCAGCCAUCCUGUCGGAUCCGUUUGGUUACCAUUGAGCUAACCUUGAAACUGUUCUGUCAGAUUAUCGGGACCGGUACCACUAAUAUAAAUAUUUGCGAACAGCACAGAAACUCUUUGUUCUCUGCGCGAAAUCAGAGCAUGACUGUGUUAAGAAAUUUCUACAAAUCUGAAGACAUUUUUCUGGAUCUUUUUGAGGAUGAAUACAACGAAAUGGUGAAAAGUUCUUUAAAUGUAGAGUUCUUGUGCAACGAUUCAACUAUUUUACUUCCCCCGACUGGAACUCCAUUGACGGGAAUAGGUUUUACUCGGCGAUUGCCAUGUGGUGAAGUAGAAAAGGCGCGUCGUGCGAUUCGAGUGUUUUUCUUGCUCAGAAGGACGUGUCAAAGUAUUACAGGAGAAAGGGAACUGCUGCUUCCUCUCACAAACCUAAGCCAAUGUGUCCAGGUUGAUAACGCUCUAGAUUUAAACAACAGCGAUCUAAUAGCUUGCACUGUGGUGAUGCGCGAUGGUACUAAAUACCGCCGGUUUCUUGUGAUGGAUAUUCUUCAACUUAUUCUAGUUGAACCGGAUAGCAAAAGGUUAGGUUGGGGUGUUGCCAAGUUCGUUGGGUUUUUACAAGAUGUCGAAGUAAACGGUGAUAAAGAAGACUCUAGAAGUUUACACUUGACAAUACAUCGAGGCGGAGCCACUAACAACCGUACUCCUAUUCUGUCAGCAAAAUUUAUGUUUGACGACCAUAUUCGUUGCAUGGCAGCAAAACAACGUUUGACAAAAGGACGUAGUAAAGCACGUCAGAAGAAAAUGUUUCAAAUCGCUCAGUUGUUGGAAAUCCCGGGUCAAAUGAACGAACCAUCGUUUCCUCUUCUUGGAUCGGCUGGGUCAUCGAUGCCGCGUUCGUUGCUCAGAUCAGCCGGUGGACGACAACCAAGGGAACAUCGCCCACUUUUUUCCACAUCGAACCGGGUACCAGGUUUAGCAACAGCUCUUAGAAGGGAAAGCAUGCCCUCCGGAAGUGUUAGCCGAGUACAAAUUAACUCUAGCCGUUCUAUUGAUGGUGAAGUUACCGGAGCCCGCAGGAAAAGCAACCAUCCAUCACGCCGAGAGAGUAGUCAGCCAAUAGCUGUUACCACAACAAAACCACGCGAUUCUUCCCAUAAUCGAUCAAUUACUCCAAGAUCUCGCGAACCCAGUCCUCGUGUUCCAAGGCCACGUUCAGAGGAAAUUCCUUUAGAAGAUUUUUGUAACUCUCAAAAUUCCAGCCCAGUCUCACGUGGUUCGUCGAAUGCAGCUUCUCGUUCCCAUACACCAUCGCGCUUAAGUCUUGAACCAUCGAUUUGCGCAAUGCCGAAUAAUGGACAAACUAGUGGAAAUAACGCCGCUCCAAAAGAAACAGUUAUUCCCUCUGUAAUAUCUGUAGCUACAGUUCCAGCGAGCAUUACUGUUCCUGUUGAAUUGAGUCCCACUUCAGAAGAGACAUCAUUUAUAGCCAAUGAGGAACGGCAAAAGAAGCGGGGUGCAAUCGAGACUGUUUAACUUUGUUUGCAUAUUACAUUUUUGUUUGCUAGACCAAGUGUUGUAGGUUAGUUAUCAUUCUGUUUCAGGACUACGUGGAAUUUUAUUUUCAGGCUGCGAAAUAAAAUAUAUGUAGCGAAAUAAACGUUUUAUUUUUGUUACAUUAUUGGUCACCUUGGUCAUCUGUAGGAACUUAAAAUUAAAAUGUCAGUCAUGGGAGCAGGUUUGCAUGGUUUUAAAAUGAUCGAUUUGCCACAUUUUUUACACUCUGUAUUUUAAAACCGUCCGGCUUGCUGUAGCGGAAAUUUUUUCAUCUAAUUUACACUUCCAGUAAGUUGAAAUGAAUUAGUAAUCGUUUAUUCUUGUCAGCAAUAUUCAAAGCUGAAUAAAUACAACUGCGCACAAAAUAAAAAUGUACGUCACUCAGAAAAUGGUUUGGAAAGAUCGCAAUGCCAUCAGUGUGGAGAGAACAAUAUACACCGACUUCAAUAGAUAUAUUCUUGCAAACAUAACAGGCAACAGGUGGUUUCGAUUUUCCUGCAG